RNAcentral lists this long non-coding RNA (443 nucleotides) under Panax ginseng (ginseng). RNAcentral's name for it is "long non-coding RNA (PGIN_LNC010933)". Lineage: Eukaryota; Viridiplantae; Streptophyta; Magnoliopsida; Apiales; Araliaceae. The record is from RNAcentral.
UUUUCCCUGUUGAAGACUAACGAUAAUUUGUUGUAUAUUAUCUUAGUCAUAAUAUUCUUUACUGGGCUAGUUGAGCUCACCCUUUUCCUUUUUGUUCCAUUUUUCUUCUCAGGAGGCGAGAAUAUAGCGAGUACGAGUUGGGGUGUGGAAUGAUGGUUCUAGAAGUUGUUUUAGUAGUCCUCACCAUUUUUGUAUAAUAAUGUACCAAUAAUUGUAAUGAGGACUUAGUUGGGUAUGGAUAUUGUUUAGAUGAUAAUAUUUGUAUUUAAACUCACAGUUUAUAUGUUGUAUUAAUAAGAUUGUAGUCGUUUCUGUACCUUGUAUUUUGGCGACUCAGAAUGGGUGUUGUAUACCUAUUUUGGGGGCAUCACAUGAUAAGUCACUCAGUUUUAUUUUAUUAGUAUUAUUAAUGUAAUAAAACAGAAAAACUUUUUAUAUAAAAC